Cajanus cajan (pigeon pea) is the source of this 661-nucleotide non-coding RNA. The record is from RefSeq and is a predicted model, not a curated record. Lineage: Eukaryota; Viridiplantae; Streptophyta; Magnoliopsida; Fabales; Fabaceae.
CAAUGAAUCCUGACAUAAAAUGAACAUAUUUAUGUUUCUUUCUCUAGCAUUAUUAACCUUUAGAGUAUGCGAGUUUUGUGACAAAAUCAGGGUGUAACUGCACAAGGGUUGCAAUAGUGUUGUUCUUGUUCGUCCAUUCUUAUUUGUUACAUGAUCUGAAGAAUUCGUCAAUUUAAAUGGUUCUGUUUCCUUUUUUGGUGCUUUUUUUCAAUCGAGUGUCUAUUGUUCAUAGGUUUUUGGGGAGCCAUCUGACACUCAGACGUUAGCACUGCAAGAAAGCCCUCAGACUCCAGGGGUGACUAGUCAGAGGUUGGAUGACGCCCAAAAAACACUUAGGCUGCCCAAACCUGAGUCAGAGGAGGGUUGAAUGCCAUCUGCAUCCGUUGUCGUCCAAGACCAUGCUCCACAAGUCUUUAUGCGCACUGAGCAAUACCAUUUCUGUCAUCACUCUAGAGAGGGUUAUUGCAAAAUUAAUGGCCCCUUGUUAUUAUUUGCCUUUUCAGUUAGCAUUGCAGAUUUCUAGUUUUUCCAUUUACAGUCAAUUAGAUGAUUUUGGCCUUUCUCCUUCCUUUUGCAAAUUCUGGAAUGAGAUGCAGCUGGAAGAGUCCUACAGGGUUGUCACACUGUUGUAGUAUUUUGAAAUUUUAUUGCUAAAUUGCAU